GAUCCUUGUUUGAAGUCUGAAGCUACCCAUGAUUAGGCCAUUCUCUGUGGUGCACCACCAUUUUUCAAGUAUUUGAAAACAGUUAUGUUCCAUUUCAAGUUGUUCCCCCAGGCUAAACAUCUUCAAGUGCCCCAGAAUGACACUGUUUCUAGAUCUUUACCACCAUAUUAUUUCCUAACCUCUAAGUGCUCUCUAAUUUAUUAACGUCUUUUUAAAAUUGUGGCAACCAAGCCAGCAGGUUAUGUUCCCGUUAAUGUUCUUUUAGCAGCCUGGUUAGUGCACAUGGAGGUUGUGGUCAAGUAAAAUGCCAGGCUGGCAGGCCUUGACCUCAGAUCCUUAGCUGCUAAUAGAUAGUCUAGAUAAUACUAACUCAAUAACUAUAUUGGAAAUGAUGUGGGCUUUUUCCUUCACAAAUGUAAAAAUGUUUUUCAUUUUCCUGAUGGCAUCCAAGAUUAUACUUAAAUUUUAAAUACAAUUUUAUAAAAAUUAUGGAAACCUAUGGAUAAGGAUUAUAAGAGAACACGGGCAAAUAAAAACAGCUUAUUUGAUAAGGUGAUGGGGUUUUAAAUGCCUUAGAUUAGAGGCUCUGGAAUUAGAACUGCCUAUAUUUGCAUCCAAAUAGUAAGCCCCUCUUAAUAGCUGUGUGACACUAGGUAAGUUAAUUAACUUCUUUAUGCUUUUAUUUCCUCAUUUAAAAGAUGGAAAUAAAAAGAGUACCUUCCUUCUAAGGUGGUUGUGAAGAUUAAAUGAUAAAGGAUGCUGAAUGCAAAGCACAAGCCAUAUACUUAGUGCUUACAAAUGUAAACAAUAAUAAUAAUUUAUUGUUAUAAUGUUUGCCUGCAAUAAACAAGUCACGUUAUUAUCUAACAUAGAAAUACCAGGUCAAGUUAAAGACUGCAGAAAUUUGAAAUUCUCUACGGACUCUUUUAGGAAGCACAGUUUACGAGAAAUGUUGAAUUAUCUAUUCAACUUUAAAUACAGCUCAAUAAAAAUUAUGGAAGCCUAUGGAAAAGGAUUAUAAGAGAACGCAGGCAAAUAAAAACAGCUUAUUUCAAGAAUCAGCUCACACAUAACUUCACAUAUUUUCUUCCCCUUUUUUCAUUCCCUAACCCAGCAAAAACCAUCCCUGGCUCCUUUGUCCUAACCACUCUGUGUUCUACAUUCUAGUCAUUUGUGUAAGACUCUUCUACUAAGCCCUGAAUUCUUUGAAGGUGAGGACUACGCCCUAUGGAACUCUGGAUCCUCAGUGACAACCCAUAGUUCGACAUUAGUCUCAUAAGAAACAUAGCUGGAUCCUUCUUCACAGCUACAUCUAGCAAAUAAUAAAGGAAGCCUCCUGCCCUGGUAAACUUGGUGAGUAUCUCAUCACUGUCAGUUGUCAUCAGGCCAAGUAUCUGCAAACUACCAGAUGGGGAUAAGGAGGCUAUGACCCCACAUAGCAUGACUCUACCCAGUGACAACCAUUGCAGAGAUUCUCAUUGAUGAGUUGCUUGCAUUCUAAGGAGAUCCUUAAAAGCCAGCUGCAACCACAGUCCAAGCAAAUCCUAAUUCCUUCCCUGCAGCAAAGGCACACUCUCCUGUGAAGAAGGGUUUCCUCCUAACGUGGUACAGUUGCCCAAACUCCCCAGAUGGCGUUGCUGGAAAGGUAUGUCAUCGGGAAACAAACUUAAGACACAAAUGAAUAAAGCACAGCAGAUUAUGUACCCGGCUAAGGGAAAUAGUGCAAAGAGAAAAAAAAGGGAAGAGACUUAAUGAA
Molecule: long non-coding RNA, 1756 nt
Filed under: Homo sapiens (human)
Lineage: Eukaryota; Metazoa; Chordata; Mammalia; Primates; Hominidae
Description: HSALNT0347927
Source: RNAcentral